GGGAACCCCGUGGCAUAGUCGGGGGGAAUACGGGGGGUGCAAGCUUUAUCCGGAUUGACUGGGGUUAAAGGGUGCGUAGGCGGAAUUGUAAGUCCGUGGUGAAAUCUCCAAGCUUAACUUGGAAACUGCCGUGGAUACUAUAGUUCUUGAAUGUUGUGGAGGUUUGCGGAAUAUGUCAUGUAGCGGUGAAAUGCUUAGAUAUGACAUAGAACACCGAUUGCGAAGGCAGCAGGCUACACAAAUAUUGACGCUGAGGCACGAAAGCGUGGGGAUCAAACAGGAUUAGAUACCCGAGUAGUC
Molecule: ribosomal RNA, 300 nt
Filed under: uncultured Helicobacter sp.
Lineage: Bacteria; Pseudomonadati; Campylobacterota; Epsilonproteobacteria; Campylobacterales; Helicobacteraceae
Description: bacterial SSU rRNA
Rfam family: Bacterial small subunit ribosomal RNA
Source: RNAcentral